GAUGAACGCUGGCGGCGUGCCUAAUACAUGCAAGUCGAGCGAACAGAUGAGGAGCUUGCUCCUCUGACGUUAGCGGCGGACGGGUGAGUAACACGUGGAUAACCUACCUAUAAGACUGGGAUAACUUCGGGAAACCGGAGCUAAUACCGGAUAAUAUAUUGAACCGCAUGGUUCAAUAGUGAAAGACGGUUUUGCUGUCACUUAUAGAUGGAUCCGCGCCGCAUUAGCUAGUUGGUAAGGUAACGGCUUACCAAGGCAACGAUGCGUAGCCGACCUGAGAGGGGGAACCGCCAACCCUGAACUGAGGCACCGUCCCGACUUCUACGGGAGGGAAGCGUUGGGAAUCCUUCCGAAAGGGCGGAAGCCUUACGGGGCAAACGCGGGGGGGGUAUUAAGGUCCUCCGAUUCUAAAACCCUGGUAAUAGGGAAGAACAAAAGGGGUAGGAAACAUUGCCCGCCUUACCGGUACCAAACAGAAAGGCCCGGCUAAACUCGUG
This 497-nucleotide ribosomal RNA is filed under the name uncultured bacterium. RNAcentral describes it as "partial 16S ribosomal RNA". It matches the Rfam family "Bacterial small subunit ribosomal RNA", at positions 28 to 507 of the family's 1533-position model. The record is from RNAcentral.